ACGCACGCUGGCGGCGUGCUUAACACAUGCCAGUCGAACGGAAAGGCCCUGCUUUUGUGGGGUGCUCGAGUGGCGAACGGGUGAGUAACACGUGAGUAACCUGCCCUUGACUUUGGGAUAACUUCAGGAAACUGGGGCUAAUACCGGAUAGGAGCUCCUGCUGCAUGGUGGGGGUUGGAAAGUUUCGGCGGCUGGGGAUGGACUCGCGGCUUAUCAGCUUGUUGGUGGGGUAGUGGCUUACCAAGGCUUUGACGGGUAGCCGGCCUGAGAGGGUGACCGGCCACAUUGGGACUGAGAUACGGCCCAGACUCCUACGGGAGGCAGCAGUGGGGAAUAUUGCACAAUGGGCGGAAGCCUGAUGCAGCAACGCCGCGUGCGGGAUGACGGCCUUCGGGUUGUAAACCGCUUUCGCCUGUGACGAAGCGUGAGUGACGGUAAUGGGUAAAGAAGCACCGGCUAACUACGUG
Molecule: ribosomal RNA, 467 nt
Filed under: uncultured bacterium
Lineage: Bacteria
Description: partial 16S ribosomal RNA
Rfam family: Bacterial small subunit ribosomal RNA
Source: RNAcentral